RNAcentral lists this transfer RNA (90 nucleotides) under bacterium. Its description in RNAcentral is "tRNA-Ser". It matches the Rfam family "tRNA". From Rfam's summary of the family: Transfer RNA (tRNA) molecules are approximately 80 nucleotides in length. The record is from RNAcentral.
GGAGAGGUGACCGAGCUGGCCGAAGGUGCACGAUUGGAAAUCGUGUGUGCCCAAAAGGCACCGGGGGUUCGAACCCCCCCCUCUCCGCCA